RNAcentral lists this ribosomal RNA (422 nucleotides) under uncultured archaeon. Its description in RNAcentral is "bacterial SSU rRNA". It matches the Rfam family "Archaeal small subunit ribosomal RNA", at positions 458 to 880 of the family's 1478-position model. The record is from RNAcentral.
UCAGCCGCCGCGGUAAAACCAGCACCUCGAGUGGUCAGGAGGUUUAUUGGGCCUAAAGCAUCCGUAGCCGGUUGCAUAAGUUUUCGGUUAAAUCUAUGCGCUUAACGUAUAGGCCGCCGAAAAUACUGUGCAGCUAGGGAGUGGGAGAGGUACACGGUACUCGAUAGGAGGGGGUAAAAUCCUUUGAUCUAUUGACGACCACCUGUGGCGAAGGCGGUGUACCAGAACACGUUCGACGGUGAGGGAUGAAAGCUGGGGGAGCAAACCGGAUUAGAUACCCGGGUAGUCCCAGCUGUAAACGAUGCAGACUCGGUGAUGCAUUGGCUUGUGGCCAAUGCAGUGCCGCAGGGAAGCCGUUAAGUCUGCCGCCUGGGAAGUACGUACGCAAGUAUGAAACUUAAAGGAAUUGGCGGGGGAGCACA